Long non-coding RNA from Hyla sarda, 578 nucleotides. RefSeq lists it as uncharacterized. The record is from RefSeq and is a predicted model, not a curated record. The transcript has 3 exons. NCBI's taxonomy places the organism in Eukaryota, Metazoa, Chordata, Amphibia, Anura, Hylidae.
UGAUUGGUUGCUAUGGGCAACUCAGCAACUUUUCCUCUAGACAGGUUUUGAUAAAUCUCCCCCAAUGUUAUCGUUAAUAUGUGGCACCAAAGAGAAAACUCUAUCUUGUAAAAGAGAGCUACUUUGCAUAUUUAUUUCAUGAACUGUAAGGAGAAACAUUAUACCCGCAGUCCAACCAAAAUCAGCCAGGGGCUAAAGGAAACAUCUGUCAUUUGCUGUUAGACUGGCAGCUUAUCCAAACCUAACACGUGCACACUGCUUGACACAGGUAAGGAGUAAAAAACGUGCAAAAAUGGAAAAACCCUCAAUCCUUAAGGGGUUAAAGGAGGAAAAUAGGAGGUCGAAGCUUACUAGGAGUCUUAUCAGAACAAGCUGUACAUGAAAAGUUCAAAGCAGAAGCGGAAUAGUGAAAGAAGACUUAGGCUACCUGCCAAGAUCUUGCAAAAAGCAGCUGUUUUACAGUUAAGAGAUUGUUAAAUAUAUUAUUUGAGACUUAUUUCUCAUCGGUUUAUCUUUUUUUUUUUUCAAUGUGUACAACCUAUUUCAGUUAAAAACUCAUCAAACAACCAUCUUUCACA